GUCUCAGGCCGUAUCAGCCUGAAGGGGCCCGAUCUCGUCUAAUCUCAGAAGCUAAGCAGGGUCGGGCCUGGUUAGUAUCUUGGAUGGGAGACCACCUGGGAAUCCCGGGUGCUCGAGGCU
Ribosomal RNA from Bison bison bison, 120 nucleotides. Lineage: Eukaryota; Metazoa; Chordata; Mammalia; Artiodactyla; Bovidae. The record is from Ensembl.